This 333-nucleotide small RNA is filed under the name uncultured Xanthomonas sp. RNAcentral's name for it is "Proteobacterial sRNA Xoo8". It matches the Rfam family "Proteobacterial sRNA Xoo8". Lineage: Bacteria; Pseudomonadati; Pseudomonadota; Gammaproteobacteria; Lysobacterales; Lysobacteraceae. The record is from RNAcentral.
GCCAGGCCGACUGACGUUUCGCCAGGCCGGCCCUGCGCCGGCCGCAACACCGCCGAUCGGGCCUGUCCGCCCGGGCGGCGCGCCGUGUCCUUUGCUGCCGGGUCGUUUCGACCCGGCAGGUUUUUGCGACCGCGACGCCGGCCUGCGCCAGCGUUGCGCAAAUAGGACGCUGUGACCGUCUUGUUAAAAUUUGGCUAAACGCGUGAUAUUCUCAAUUCCGUUCAGUUCCCGUCUGAGCGGACGUUCCCAGACUGUCUCCCAUGACCCAGCAACGCACCCUCAAGAACACGAUCCGCGCCACCGGCGUGGGCCUGCAUAGCGGCGACAAGGUGU